AAGCUUAGGAAACACUUUUAUUUAGAAAACUUCUGAGUUAAGGGACAUAAAAGACAACAACCCCAAAAACACGCUGUCGGAAACACCUCGGAUCAAACCAGGGACAGGACAGACCCGGAAGAGGGAAGACAUGCAGUAAAGGACCACCUGUCUGAAUCAGGCGGCCUCCGGCUGUAUGUGACCUCAUCAGCCCAGAGUGAAGGGACGUACAGGUUUACUCUCAGGUACGCAGACGAAGAAGACGUAACCCACAUUGAACCGAAGAUAUUGGAAGACCCUAUUGAAGAGGGAUCUUCUAGCACAGUUGGGAUCAUUUUAGGAGUCGUGGAUCCCGUUAUCAUUUUAAUCAUCGCCAUCAACAGUUUAUAUAUCAUAUAACCGAUAAAGGCCAAAGAAGGACGAGGAAUGAGCUCAAACAACCAAAGUACUGAACCCUCUCCUCAGGAAGUCGUUCCUCUGUGAGAUAACGGGUUCAACCUCCUGACCUUAUUACCGUACCAUCAGACACAGCAGGCAUGACGUAACACAUCUCAGGAAGUGGUGGCGCUCCACUGUGUUGGAGAAUCUCCAUACUGAAGGUCAUUGCAGACGGUUUGCUCAUUUCACGGAGGAGGGCAGAGACAUGGCAAGAGGAACUCUACCACCUAUCUUCGGUAUCCCGAGGAAGCACUAAGUGUCCGAAAUGGAGGAGACAUAAUAUUUGUCUUUUCUUUUUCUUUAUUUUUUAUUGG
Molecule: long non-coding RNA, 731 nt
Organism: Gadus morhua (Atlantic cod)
Lineage: Eukaryota; Metazoa; Chordata; Actinopteri; Gadiformes; Gadidae
Exons: 6
Source: RefSeq, a predicted model, not a curated record